UUUAUGGAGAGUUUGAUCCUGGCUCAGGAUGAACGCUGGCGGCGUGCCUAAUACAUGCAAGUCGAGCGAACGGACGAGAAGCUUGCUUCUCUGAUGUUAGCGGCGGACGGGUGAGUAACACGUGGAUAACCUACCUAUAAGACUGGGAUAACUUCGGGAAACCGGAGCUAAUACCGGAUAAUAUUUUAAACCGCAUGGUUCAAAAGUGAAAGACGGUCUUGCUGUCACUUAUAGAUGGAUCCGCGCUGCAUUAGCUAGUUGGUAAGGUAACGGCUUACCAAGGCAACGAUGCAUAGCCGACCUGAGAGGGUGAUCGGCCACACUGGAACUGAGACACGGUCCAGACUCCUACGGGAGGCAGCAGUAGGGAAUCUUCCGCAAUGGGCGAAAGCCUGACGGAGCAACGCCGCGUGAGUGAUGAAGGUCUUCGGAUCGUAAAACUCUGUUAUUAGGGAAGAACAUAUGUGUAAGUAACUGUGCACAUCUUGACGGUACCUAAUCAGAAAGCCAC
RNAcentral lists this ribosomal RNA (511 nucleotides) under Staphylococcus aureus. RNAcentral describes it as "bacterial SSU rRNA". It matches the Rfam family "Bacterial small subunit ribosomal RNA", at positions 1 to 494 of the family's 1533-position model. The record is from RNAcentral. Lineage: Bacteria; Bacillati; Bacillota; Bacilli; Caryophanales; Staphylococcaceae.